GACAGAGGGUGCAAACGUUGUUCGGAAUUACUGGGCGUAAAGCGCGUGUAGGCUGCUUGGCAAGUCGAUGUGAAAUCCCUCGGCUCAACCGAGGAACUGCAUCCGAUACUGGCGGGCUUGAAUCCGGGAGAGGGAUGUGGAAUUCCAGGUGUAGCGGUGAAAUGCGUAGAUAUCUGGAGGAACACCGGUGGCGAAGGCGGCAUCCUGGACCGGUAUUGACGCUGAGGCGCGAAAAGCUAGGGGAGCAAACGGGGAUUAA
Molecule: ribosomal RNA, 259 nt
Filed under: uncultured bacterium
Lineage: Bacteria
Description: partial 16S ribosomal RNA
Rfam family: Bacterial small subunit ribosomal RNA
Source: RNAcentral